Molecule: long non-coding RNA, 4543 nt
Filed under: Homo sapiens (human)
Lineage: Eukaryota; Metazoa; Chordata; Mammalia; Primates; Hominidae
Description: HSALNT0202742
Source: RNAcentral
CCCACUUUUAAGCGUUUUAUAUAACAUUUUAUAUAACACAACAUUUCCUAGACCAAGUGAUAAAAGGCCAGCCAAUAUCCAGAGGUUUAUUAGGUGGUUUGACAGAACAGCUUUGUCUAGCAAGGGAUGAUGUUGAUUAGGCAGGGCAAUGAGAUUUUUCUCCCAGGAAUUUGAAAGUGAAAUAAAAAACAGAGUUGAGCAAUUAGCAGAGGGGUUGAAGGUAAAAGGACUGCAGAGAAGGCCAUUUGCAGAGGCCAUUAAUGCCAUAGUCAUAAAGUAUAAAAUGCACAUGUAGAAAGAAAUUCCUCAGAAACAACAGGAGACAGAAGUUAAGUCAUGUUAAUCACAAAAUACCAGAAUACAAACCUUCUCCAUGAGGCCUUGAGGUAGGCCUUUUUCUAAUCCCCUGAGGCACUUGCUCUCCUCAUUCCCAUAUGUUUUUUCACCAUAAAUGUUUUGUUUAUUGACAUAACCUGAAUUCUUUUCAUAGAACCAACAAAGAGGGGCAGGAUGGUCACUUAUGGAGCUGCCUGUAAGGCUGAGAAAGUAACUUAGGCACCCUUAUCAUCUGAUGGAGGACUGCUCCUGUCUCAUGACUGACAAAAGGUGAAAUUAUGCAGAUUUCACAAUAAUCAUUGCAUUCCUGAGGAAAGUCCUGUCUAAAUAGCACCACCUUUUUGAUGGAAAGGAGACACCUGGAGGUUGGCAUGGAUGUGCCUGGCAACAGCAACAUGAGGAAUCCAGGUGGAUCCAGAACAACUGCCAUCCUGAGAGCCUGAAGGAAGAAAGUCAGCCUUAGACUUACUCUUAGUACUUUCCCCUAGUUGAUGCUGUGAGGCCUCACUUUCAAGACAAAUGUACACCUUGAGUCCCUUCUCUUGGUUAACUGAGUCUAGAAGAAAGACGCCAGAAGGAAAGAGUCUCUUAGAGUCCUUGACAGAACAGACUUGCUUUGACCAGUGUUGGGCUCCCACUAGGAACUCAUUCUCUCAGGGAAAAUCUGGUCUAAAAUAAUUAGAAAUAAGAUGGGGAGUGAAAUUCCAAAUAACUCAAGCAGCCUUAUUUGUGAAAUGGUGGACUGUGGUAGAAAGUACUGGGGCAAGAAUUUAGAGCCUAUCUGUGACUAAGAGCAUCUCACUUCACCCCUCUGGGCCUCAGUUUCUUCAUGCCCUCUGCUACCUGCAAGCUAAAGACCCAGGAAAGCUGGUGAUAUCAAUCCUACUCUGAGCCCAAAGGCCUAAGAACUGGGAGCAUUAAUGGGGUAAGUCCUAGUUUAAGGGCAGGAGAAGAUCAAUGCCUCAGCUUAAGUAGUCAGGUAUAGAGAAAUAAUUCAACCUCACUUCACCUUUUUGUCAUAUUUGGGCCCUCAACAGGUUAGAGAAUGCCCACUCACAUUGGGAAGGACAAUCUGCUUUACUUAGUCCACCAAUUCAAAUGCUAAUUUCUUUCAGAAACACCCUCACAGACAUGCCAAGAAAUCAUGUUUAACCAGAUAUCUGAGUAUCCCACACCCCAGUCAAGUCAACGUAUAAUUAACCAUCACACUGCCCAUAGGUAAGAAAUAGUUCAUGGAUUAUUUACUUAUUUAUUACCUCUUUCUAAAAAUGAUCUAAGACAGAUUUAUAUAAUCAUAGUUUUUUGGUUUGAAGAACCUUCCAAAGUUUUUAGAACCAUCACUCAACUGAGAUAUGUAACAUAUAUUUGUAUACUACCCAAAAAUGUGAGAACGUUCUCACAUUUUUGGAUAGCAUUCUUCAAAAUGCUAUUCAUUUACUCAUCUAUUAAACAAAUAUAUAGUCACAUUCUACAAUGUACUUGGAACUAUGGUAGCUGCUGGGAAUAUAAUGAGGAAUAAGAUGUGGUCCCCACACUCAAGCAGAUUUUCCUCCAGUAAAAAAAGAUGGGGUUGGGCGUGGUGGCUCACUCUUGUAAUCCCAGCACUUUGGGAGGCCAAGGCAGGCAGAUCACCUGAGGUCAGGAGUUCAAGACUAGCCUGGCCCACAUGGUGAAAGCCCUUCCCUACUAAAAACACAAAAUUAGCUGGGUAUGGUGGCACAUGCCUGUAAUUCCAGCUGAGGCCAGAGAAUCGCUUGAACCCGGGAGGCAGAGGUUGCAAUGAGCCAAGAUUGCACCACUGCACUCCAACCUGGGCAGCAAAGUAAGACUCGUAUCAAAAACAACAACAGCAACAACAAAAAGAUGGAAAAGUAAACAGCCAAGUACAAUACAGCGUGAUGAGUUCAUUGAUUAGGUAUGCACAGAGGGUGCCACAUAGGAGUGUACCCACAAGGAGGAAUAACACUGAGUCUUGGGGUGUUGCGGACCAGAGGAAGAAAGAACGAGUUAGUAAGGCAAGGGUAGAAAUGGGAAGUGUGUGGGGGUGGGUGCACAUGGAUAUAUGCACAAUAUGUGUGUGCAUGCAAACUUGUUCUCUUUUUUUACUUCUAUAUGUGUGGAUUUUGAGGGAAGCUGGUUUCAGGCAGAGAGCUACAUGUGCAGAAGCCCAGGAGUUAGGAAGAAAUGGUGACUUAGGAAAGUGGCAAGUAGUUCUUUGUAAAUAGAGCUUAAAUGUGGGGAGCAAGAAAAGGUUAGAGAUUGAAGCAGGGGCCCUUGAGCAUUUGGAUUUUGUUUUUGUGGUAAUCAAAAGUUAUUGAAGGCUUUUAGUGGGGGAAUCAGGUUUUCCUUUUUGGAAAUAUUACUUUGUCUGCAAUGUGGAUGAAAGAAUUGAAGCAGCAAAGCUGAAGGCAGGAAGACCAGCUCUGAGACAGUUUCAGAAACUCAGAUGAAAGAUAAUGGAAUUUUGCAUGAAGUGGUGUCAGUGAGGAUGGAGGAGCUGCCCUUGGCACCCGCAAGCAGAUAGUCCAAGCAGAUCUGUCCCCAAGGCAGAUACAGGCUGCCUUCCUCUAUUCUCUCACUGAAUACAAUACGUAUUGUUUGCAUUUAUCAUGAUCUGUUAUAAUUGUUUGCUUGCAUGUCUUUCCCACUGGACAGUAACUUCCUUGAAGUGAAUAAGUGCUGAUUUCCAUCUUGCAUCUAGUUUCUCAGAGCUCUACCCGAUACCUGGCAGUUUCUUCAAUGUUUGUUGAAGGAGAAACAUGCAUCCCUUAAACGUUUCACCCAUUUUCCUAGUUCUACCACUUGGCAACUGUAAGACACAUAUUUAAACCCACUUUCUAUUUAUUUUAUUUUAUUUGUUUGAGACAGAGUCUUACUCAGUUGUCCAGGCUGGAGUGGAGUGGAACAAUCUUGGCUCGCUGCAACCUCUGCGUCCCAGGUUCAAGUGAUUCUCCUGCCUCAGCCUCCCAAGUAGCUGGGAUUACAGCUUUUGUAUUUUUAGUAGAGACAAGAUUUCACCAUGUUGGCCCGGCUGGUCUCAAACUCCAGACCUCAAGUGAUCCACCCGCCUUGGCAUCCCAAAGUGCUGGGAUUACAGACGUGAGCCACCACGCUCAGCCUCAGCCUCCACUUUCUGUUUAAAGUCUCUUCAGAGCUCCCCUUUCCACUUCCAGGGUCAACGACUUAAUCCUUUCAACAGUUCUUUGUCUGACUUAGUUUUGAAUCCUUCAUAAUCCUACUUCCAGUUUACCAACUUAUACCAAACUCCCAGGACAGUGCACUUGAUUUCUGGUAUCUUGGAAGAUACAAGCCAAGCUCCAGAAGUCCUUGUGUCUAUCACUCGCUGCGGUCAGCUGCCACACCAAUUCUUUGGUGUGGCUAGGCAAGAACCUUACGUGUUACAUUUUGGCGAGCCAGCCAGGAGUCUCCAGGAAAGGCAUCUAGAUCGUCACAUGCUUCUUCCCUCCAGGUAAAUUGCAGACGUGAUGCUCAGAAUUAAACUGUCAGGAUGCUGCCAUUCUGCUGCAUGCUCCGGACAGCUGGCCGUUAGGGAGCACUGCAGGCUUGGAAGAGGUGACUUGUCUCCCUGUGUACAGCCCUCUGGGUAGAGCAGCUGUCAUCUAAAUACAGAUGCUGAUCUCCAAAAGAAGUUCCAGUUUGGUUACAGAGAGUUACAGCAUAGUGAAACUUCAAGAACUAGGUUUUUCUGGACCAUCCCAGUGCGCAUGAAUCAGAUUUAAAAAGAAAGAAACAUACAAGAAAUACAUAAAUCAUACUAUAUGACGAUAGCCCAGAAGAUUGCAUGGAGGAUCUUUGUGUUUCCUGUAGAAGAAAAGAAAAAUGGAAUUUCCAUCUCUUGCAUCAGCACUUGACAGCUGGAGUUAUUGUUGACCAGGCAUCAAGAAAGGAGGGAUAUGCAUCAGAAAUCAUUUUGCCUGAAAUAAGCACAACUCCAUGGAGGACAAUGACACAUUUUCUCUGGUGAUCUUGUAAUUGGGGAUGAUGUAAACAUGAGUCUAAUCUGCAUUUUGUCUAAGAAAUUCUUCAUCAUGAGCAUCUUCCAAUAAAACGUGGUUCCUUACAACAUGAGUUUGCAUGACAACUUCUUACCACUUACUUCAUGUCACACUUAUAUAAUGGAGACUCAUGUCUCAAUGAACGCUUUCCAGAUAAACAGAAGCACUUCUCCAAGAGUAAUAAACACCUG